CAGAGUCAAACAACAAAUAUUUGUUCCGAGUUCAUCAUGUCAAUCCUUCGAAGGAUUAGCGGUUCGCUUGUGUUGUGUGUUUUUUUUGGAGGGGGGUUUCUUCACAUAUUCCACAUAUUCCAAUGGAGGAACCAGCCUCAACAAGUUCCUCUGUGGAGCAUAGGUGGCUCUUUGUGCCUCUUUUUUCCAUCUUUCUUUCCAGCACUAAUCACCUCCUCGCCUGCGCACCUGGUUCCAAUCAGCACUCAUCACUGCCUGCAUUUAAGCCUGCCAGUUCCAGUGUUCGAGCACCAGAGUAUUCUCGCUCCCACGCGUGCCUUCCUGUGCCUCCUGCCACAACGCCCACACCAACCACACUGCCAAGCUCACUCACCUGCUAGCGCUCCAGUCUCCUGCAUGCUCCCUGCUCCUCCGGACCCAGCUCAAGUCUUGGAGUUCUUGACCUUGCGCUUCACCCUAAUAAAGCCUUUCCAACUGCU
Phyllopteryx taeniolatus (common seadragon) is the source of this 479-nucleotide long non-coding RNA. RefSeq lists it as uncharacterized. The record is from RefSeq and is a predicted model, not a curated record. Lineage: Eukaryota; Metazoa; Chordata; Actinopteri; Syngnathiformes; Syngnathidae. The transcript has 3 exons.